RNAcentral lists this ribosomal RNA (769 nucleotides) under uncultured Actinomycetes bacterium. Its description in RNAcentral is "bacterial SSU rRNA". It matches the Rfam family "Bacterial small subunit ribosomal RNA", at positions 8 to 795 of the family's 1533-position model. Lineage: Bacteria; Bacillati; Actinomycetota; Actinomycetes. The record is from RNAcentral.
AGAGUUUGAUCAUGGCUCAGGAUGAACGCUGGCGGCGUGCUUAACACAUGCAAGUCGAACGAGGUCCAACCUUCGGGUGAAGACCGAGUGGCGAACGGGUGAGUAACACGUGGGGAACCUGCCCUUCUCUCUGGGAUAACCUCGGGAAACCGAAGCUAAUACCGGAUACUCCUUGCGGACCGCAUGGUCUGCUCGGGAAAGCUCCGGCGGAGAAGGAUGGCCCCGCGGCCCAUUAGCUUGUUGGUGGGGUAACGGCCCACCAAGGCGACGAUGGGUAGCCGAGCUGAGAGGCUGAUCGGCCACACUGGGACUGAGACACGGCCCAGACUCCUACGGGAGGCAGCAGUGGGGAAUCUUGCGCAGUGGGCGAAAGCCUGACGCAGCAACGCCGCGUGCGGGAUGAAGGCUCUCGGGUCGUAAACCGCUUUCAGCAGGGAUGAAAAUGACAGUACCUGCAGAAGAAGCCCCGGCUAAAUACGUGCCAGCAGCCGCGGUAAUACGUAUGGGGCAAGCGUUAUCCGGAUUCAUUGGGCGUAAAGCGCGCGUAGGCGGCUUGUUAAGUCAGGCGUGAAAUCCGGGGGCUCAACCCGCGGCUUGCGUCUGAAACUGGCAGGCUUGAGUCUGGUAGAGGAAAGUGGAAUUCCUGGUGUAGCGGUGAAAUGCGCAGAUAUCAGGAGGAACACCAGUGGCGAAGGCGGCUUUCUGGGCCACGACUGACGCUGAGGCGCGAAAGCUAGGGGAGCGAGCAGGAUUAGAUACCCUGGUAGUC